Molecule: ribosomal RNA, 448 nt
Filed under: uncultured bacterium
Lineage: Bacteria
Description: bacterial SSU rRNA
Rfam family: Bacterial small subunit ribosomal RNA
Source: RNAcentral
CCAGACUCCUACGGGAGGCAGCAGUGGGGAAUAUUGGGCAAUGGGCGCAAGCCUGACCCAGCAACGCCGCGUGAAGGAAGAAGGCUUUCGGGUUGUAAACUUCUUUUAAGAGGGAAGAGUAGAAGACGGUACCUCUUGAAUAAGCCACGGCUAACUACGUGCCAGCAGCCGCGGUAAUACGUAGGUGGCAAGCGUUGUCCGGAUUUACUGGGUGUAAAGGGAGCGUAGGCCGGCUUUUAAGUCAGCUGUGAAAGUCCGCGGCUCAACCGUGGAAUUGCAGUUGAAACUGGAGGCCUUGAGUGCACACAGGGAUGCCGGAAUUCAUGGUGUAGCGGUGAAAUGCUUAGAUAUCAUGAAGAACUCCGAUCGCGAAGGCAAGUGUCCGGGGUGCAACUGACGCUGAGGCUCGAAAGUGCGGGUAUCAAACAGGAUUAGAUACCCCAGUAUA